Molecule: non-coding RNA, 31 nt
Filed under: Homo sapiens (human)
Lineage: Eukaryota; Metazoa; Chordata; Mammalia; Primates; Hominidae
Source: RNAcentral
GGCCAGACAAUGGGAGCAGACAGCCCAGAGC